RNAcentral lists this long non-coding RNA (1193 nucleotides) under Anas platyrhynchos platyrhynchos (common mallard). RNAcentral's name for it is "lncRNA (ENSAPLG00000017529.1)". The record is from RNAcentral. Lineage: Eukaryota; Metazoa; Chordata; Aves; Anseriformes; Anatidae.
CCCCAUGGCCUCGGUGACCCCCCCCCAUCAUUGAAGUGCCAUCAAUGCCCUCCACCGGGGGCUGGUGCUGAGCGCCCGGGCACUGCGCCAUGGGAUCGGGUGGGGGAUUUAUUGGGAUGGGCGGGGGGCUAUUGGGGUUUUUGGGGUUUUGGGGUGCCGUGGGUGCUGGGGGGGCCCUUGGUGACCCCCCCAUGCCCUUGGUGACCCCCCCACGUUGUCCCAGCACCAUGGACGACCUCCACCGGGGGCUGGUGCUGGGCGCGCGGGCGCUGCGCAACGGGGGAUUUAUUGGGAUGGGCGUUGGGUUAUUGGGUUUUUUGGGGGUUUUUGGGGUUUUGGGGUGCCGGGGGGGCCCCCGGUGACCCCCCCACGUCCCUUUCAGUGCCACGGACGAUUUCAACCACGGGGUGGUGCUGAGCGCCCGGGCGCUGCGGGACGGGGAGGUGUUCACGGUGCGCCUGGACCGCACGGUGCCCAAAUGGGCCGGCUCCAUCGAGAUCGGGGUCACCACGCACAGCCCCGCGCGCCUCCAGCUGCCCUCCACCAUGACCAACCUGCGCUCAGGCACCUGGAUGAUGACGGGCAACGGGGUGAUGCACAACGGCACCACGGUGCUGGACGAGUACGGCCACAACCUCGACCGCCUCAAGGUGGGCGCCGGCACCCAUGGGUGGGGGGUGACCCUGACCCCCCCCUAACCCCACCCAAAAUCCCCAGGGGGAACCCCAAAAUCCAGGGGGGAACACCAGAAGCCAGGGGGGGACCUGAAAUGCCCAGGGCGGAACCCAAAAUCCUAAAGGGGAACCCGAAAUCCCAAAGGGGAACCCGAAAUCCCAGGGGGAAAAUGCUAAAAGUCGCGUUCUGGAACCCAAAAGUCAUGUUCUAGAACCCAAAAUCCAUGCCAGGGACCCCAAAAGUCUCCUCCUGGAACCCAAAAAUCAUCCUAGAGCACAAAAUCCAAGGGGAAGAUCCUAAAAGUCAUGUUCUGGAACCCAAAAAAUCAUGUUAUAGAACCCAUAGCCCACGCUCUAGCGCUCGGAAACCAUGCUCUAGAACCCAAAAUCCAUGGGGGAAAUCCCAAAAAUCCCAUUCUAGAACCCCAAAUCCAAGACUGGUUCCCCCCAUGGGUACCCCCCACAGGGUGCCCCCACCCAUGGGUGCCCCCACCCCCAUGACCCCCCCCACCCAUCGGU